ACUUUAGGUCCAUUAUUUAGGUCCAAGUUCAACCACUAGACCUGUACUUCACAAGCCUUCAGAGGAUUCCUGCUUUCAGCCAGCAAGCUUUUUCAGCUGAAGCCCCCAGUAUCAUGGAACAGAAUCAGAUUAUUUCCACCGAGUCCUUUUCAAUUUCUUAACCCACAGGAUUUAUGAGCAUUAUGAAGUCAUUAUUGCUUUCUGCCACUAGGCUGAGAGUGGACCACAUAUACAGAAAUAGAAAACUAUUAAUAGAAAAAUAUAUUGCAAACAUCUAAUCCUCAAACCCCAUUCAAGUUUUGCCAACUACUCUCCAUCCUAUCAAAUAUUCCUUAUACCAAAAGAUCCGGUUCAAAAAUAGGUGUUGCAUUUAUUUUUUAACCUCUUUUGAUCUGGAAUAGCUCCUCACACCGUCUUUCAUGACUUUAGUGCUUUGGAAGACUACAGAAGUUUAGGCUCAUCUGAAAUUUCCCUGCCGUCACCUGGGAAUCAACCAUUUCUUCAGGGAGUCCUAGUUUCUUUUAGCGUAUAGCCACCAAUUUCUACUGAGUAUUUAUCUACUAUAUGGCAGGUCAAGUCUGCAUUCUGGGAUAAAGUGUUGACACAAUCUUGAAUCAGUGCCUAAGGAGUUCACAAGUCCAGAGAGGGGAUAGCGUAUAGAGAAGAUAAAGCAGAUAUCCAUCCAAAGACUUGUAUGUGAAUGUUCAUAGCAACUUUAUUUGUAAUAGCCAAAACCUGAAAGAAACCCAAAUGAAUGUUAAGAAGCGAAUGGAUACAUAAAUUGUGGCAUAUGCAUACAAUGGGAUACCCAGCAAUAAAAAGGAAUGAACUAUUCAAAGAUAAGAAAGCUGAAGAAGAGUGAAAAUAAAGAAACUUCUACAAAGCCACAUGUGUAAUUGACCCGUCAUUUGGAUGUCCCAAAACCACAGAAGCAAUAGAAGAAUGGAAAAAAUUAAUACAUUUUGUCAAUAAAAACUUUAUCUUCA
Molecule: long non-coding RNA, 986 nt
Organism: Pan troglodytes (chimpanzee)
Lineage: Eukaryota; Metazoa; Chordata; Mammalia; Primates; Hominidae
Exons: 6
Source: RefSeq, a predicted model, not a curated record